Molecule: long non-coding RNA, 934 nt
Organism: Hemicordylus capensis (graceful crag lizard)
Lineage: Eukaryota; Metazoa; Chordata; Lepidosauria; Squamata; Cordylidae
Exons: 5
Source: RefSeq, a predicted model, not a curated record
GUCGUGAUAGCGUCACGCGCAUGGAGAGGCGGGGCUGAGUAGAAGCAGGGUGGCGGACGGGUUGCUCGCCACCGGUCCCCUGCAGGCAACAUGGAGUCAGAAUCUGCUGCCAUCCGGGGCAGCGGAGCCCCGCUCGCGGCCAAGCGGGUUGCUGAGAACUGCUGUUAAUAUGACCAACCUGAAGCGGAGGAUAGAAGCAAGACCUUGGCUAGCCCCAGCCGCUGUCCUGGUGCCAGCCUUUGCUCGCCAGUAAAUGCCCCAAAGCCCGCACCUAAAGGCAACCACCUGUAGCUCCGUCGGCAAAGGAUCUGCUUUGCAUGCAUGCCGAAGGCCCCCGGUUCAACCCCGGCUUCUCCAGUUUGGGUCUCUCCCUUGCAGCGCUGGUGUCUGAGUGAGGCUGGGAGCUGAGCCAGAAAGGUCGCCAUCCUGCGUGCACUUCCGAGGGAGAUGAAGGAGGCUUUGGACCCGGCUUCCAAGAUGUGAGAUUAUUUAGUUCAGGUGAGAUCCAGCAGAACCCAAUGAAGAGGGGUCGGAUUCUGUCCUUGGAGCUUUAGGUCAGCAGCAGCUGGAAUGCAUCCUGCCUGAUGGGGGCUGAAUCUCUGCACGCCCGCUUCAGCUCUGAGACUGGAAGUGGAAGCUGCAUCUGUGUUCCUUCUUGGUGAAAGAUCACAUGAGGAGAAGGAGAUCCCUGCCUGCCUGGCCUCCUGAGAGCUUCCUUGAUCAGCAGCCACUUCUGUUCCCCCUUCACAUUCAGCCAGCUAGGCGGCAUUGCACUCGGCACACUGGUGGAGUCCGUGACGUUUCUGCACUGGGUUUAGCUCUUAGUCACUGGCUGACUAAUUCCGGCCCGGGUGUCGAAUUGGAACAUGCUCAAAGGAGGAAGUAUCUGGUCAAAGCACACAAGAUGCUUUUAAUAAAUAUGCAGAGGGGAGUA